AACGAACGCUGGCGGCAGGCCUAACACAUGCAAGUCGAGCGGAUCCUUCGGGAUUAGCGGCGGACGGGUGAGUAACGCGUGGGAAUAUGCCCUUCUCUACGGAAUAGCCUCGGGAAAUUGAGAGUAAUACCGCAUACGCCCUUUGGGGGAAAGAUUUAUCGGAGAAGGAUUAGCCCGCGUUGGAUUAGGUUGUUGGUGGGGGAAUGGCCUUCCAAGCCUGCGAUCCAUAGCUGGUUUGAGAGGAUGAUUAGCCACACUGGAGCUGAGACACGGCCCAGACUCCGACGGGAGGCAGCAGUGGGGAAUCUUAGACGAUGGGGGCAACCCUGAUCUAGCCAUGCCGCGUGAGUGAUGAAGGCCUUAGGGUUGUAAAGCUCUUUCAGCUGGGAAGAUAAUGACGGUACCAGCAGAAGAAGCCCCGGCUAACUCCGUGCCAGCCGCCGCCGUAA
RNAcentral lists this ribosomal RNA (449 nucleotides) under uncultured bacterium. RNAcentral's name for it is "partial 16S ribosomal RNA". It matches the Rfam family "Bacterial small subunit ribosomal RNA", at positions 29 to 523 of the family's 1533-position model. The record is from RNAcentral.